UUCGAGCGUCAUUACACCCCUCAAGCGUAGCUGGUAUUGGGCCUUCGCCCCCGCGGCGUGCCCGAAAAGCAGUGGCGGUCCGGGGUGACUUUAAGCGUAGUAAACGUCCCGCUUUGAAAGUUCGCCCCGCGGCCGGCCAGACAACCCCCAUUAUUUCCAUCAUUGACCUCGGAUCAGGUAGGGAUACCCGCUGAACUUAA
RNAcentral lists this unclassified non-coding RNA (200 nucleotides) under soil metagenome. RNAcentral describes it as "partial contains internal transcribed spacer 2 and large subunit ribosomal RNA". The record is from RNAcentral.